This 1509-nucleotide long non-coding RNA is filed under the name Vulpes vulpes (red fox). Its description in RNAcentral is "lncRNA (ENSVVUG00000028297.1)". The record is from RNAcentral. Lineage: Eukaryota; Metazoa; Chordata; Mammalia; Carnivora; Canidae.
AUGACAUGGCUUCCAUUUUCUUUCUUUCUUUUUUUUGGAUCCCAUUUUCCAAAUGUUUACUGUGUGCUACAUUCUAAGUUAAAUACUUUAUGUGCACCAUCUCAUACAGACUCCAGCACCGAACAAAGAGAACCAAGUCUGGUAUACAGAGCCUUCCUUCCUCAAGAAGUCACGCAAAGGAUACAGUCCCCCAGAGACACGUGGUCCUUGAAAAUCGUGUACCUGUGGGAUAGAAACCUUUUGAAUUUGAAGUCUGAGGUGGACUUUCAUGCAGGAGGCAAGCUAAGGAAGCUCUGCCUAAGCCCACAGGGCUCCCCCACCCAAACCUUCUGGCCCAGUCCCAUCCAGUCCCCAGUUCCACCGCUGCACUCACCACUUCUUCAGGACGAUCUUGUUCCAACGGGUGCCAGUUUGGGCUGCGAUCAGCUUCUUAAGGUCCCCGAUGGUGUCAUCAGUGCUGGGCGCAGACGAGUUAAGGAAAACGGAAGGGAGAACGGGGAAGAGGACAUCCCAGGGCUGAAGGCGCCCUGCCAGGCCCCCACCCGCCACCCGCCCACUCCCCCGGGUUUAACUAAAGUCACCCUACAGCACACACGGAGAUGCCUGCCUCACGUCAAGCACCCCAGGAACCACUGCCUCUCAGCCGCGGGUGGAUACUUGCACUUAACGCGGACCUUCUUCCCUAGACGGUCGUUGCAAACAACCUCGAUCAUCCUGUCUGGAGCCUUGAUGGCCGGGUCCGUCCGCUCUCCCCGACUCUGAGCCUCUCCCACCAGCCCCUCACCUCGAAUCGCCUGGAACCCGCCGACGCCACAAACUCCUCGCUCGAGGGCGGAGCCCGGGUCAGAGUAGACGCCGAGAGCCGGAAGCGGAAGUGAACAACCGGAAGCGCCCUCCCGCUCCCCGCUCAACACCGCUCCGGCUUUCUUCCGGUCCCAGGCAGGUUCCGAGCGCCGCUUCGGGGUCCCUAGUUUGGGCAGAGGAUACGCGCCCGUCGAUGCGUGGGGCCGCGUUGGGGUCCCAGUUUGUGCGUGGCCGGGGAAGGGGCGUGAAAGCAAAGUCAGAGGUCAGGGGCCGGCCAGAGAGAUCCCCCUUCCGUUGGAAGGUGCGGGUUGCCGCGGCCUCGUGUGGCGCCUGGUGGGAACAUCAGGGGAGCCCGGGGACGCCCCGUGGGGGUGGUGACUUUUCGUUCCGGAGCCCGACGGAGCCUCUCAGUGGAGCCUCAGCUUCAGGGCGAGGAGGAGCCUGGGUCAAGUCGUGCUGUCAUCUCGGGCCCCCUGCCUUCACUGGGGGCGGGGACUUGGAAGCGUUUUGCCCACCCCUCCCUUUGGCCAUAGCUUCCCCCCCUUGCACCCCGACACACACACCUGGGCGCAGACCACAGUCAGCAAAGCGGCCUCCUGAUCACGUCCUGGAUACAGCACGCACCAGUCCGGAGUCCAGUUCUCUCCUCUGCUGUCUCUGCCUCUCUCUGUGUGUCUCUCAUGAAUAAAUAAAAAUCUUAAAACA